Molecule: ribosomal RNA, 292 nt
Filed under: uncultured bacterium
Lineage: Bacteria
Description: partial 16S ribosomal RNA
Rfam family: Bacterial small subunit ribosomal RNA
Source: RNAcentral
GUGUCAGCCGCCGCGGUAAUACGUAGGGGGCAAGCGUUGUCCGGAAUCAUUGGGCGUAAAGAGCGUGUAGGCGGCUUGGUAAGUCCGCUGUAAAAGUCCAGGGCUCAACCCUGGAAAGCCGGUGGAAACUACCAAGCUUGAGUCCGGAAGAGGCGAGUGGAAUUCCUGGUGUAGCGGUGAAAUGCGCAGAUAUCAGGAGGAACACCAAUGGCGAAGGCAGCUCGCUGGGACGGUACUGACGCUGAGACGCGAAAGCGUGGGGAGCAAACAGGAUUAGAAACCCUGGUAGUCC